This 510-nucleotide ribosomal RNA is filed under the name uncultured bacterium. Its description in RNAcentral is "partial 16S ribosomal RNA". It matches the Rfam family "Bacterial small subunit ribosomal RNA", at positions 28 to 507 of the family's 1533-position model. The record is from RNAcentral.
GACGAACGCUGGCGGCGUGCUUAACACAUGCAAGUCGAACGAAGAGCGAUGGAAGCUUGCUUCUAUCAAUCUUAGUGGCGAACGGGUGAGUAACGCGUAAUCAACCUGCCCUUCAGAGGGGGACAACAGUUGGAAACGACUGCUAAUACCGCAUACGAUCUAAUCUCGGCAUCGAGGAUAGAUGAAAGGUGGCCUCUACAUGUAAGCUAUCACUGAAGGAGGGGAUUGCGUCUGAUUAGCUAGUUGGAGGGGUAACGGCCCACCAAGGCGAUGAUCAGUAGCCGGUCUGAGCGGAUGAACGGCCACAUUGGGACUGAGACACGGCCCAGACUCCUACGGGAGGCAGCAGUGGGGAAUCUUCCGCAAUGGACGAAAGUCUGACGGAGCAACGCCGCGUGAGUGAUGACGGCCUUCGGGUUGUAAAGCUCUGUUAAUCGGGACGAAAGGCCUUCUUGCGAAUAGUGAGAAGGAUUGACGGUACCGGAAUAGAAAGCCACGGCUAACUACGUG